This 434-nucleotide long non-coding RNA is filed under the name Heterocephalus glaber (naked mole-rat). Its description in RNAcentral is "lncRNA (ENSHGLG00100051759.1)". The record is from RNAcentral. Lineage: Eukaryota; Metazoa; Chordata; Mammalia; Rodentia; Bathyergidae.
GAGCCGCAGCCUCUCCGUGCUCCCUCGCCUGGCUGAGCAGCGACCACCCAGCCACGUCACUUCCUGUGGUCGGGCCACACCCAUCUUCUCGGGCAGGAAGCGCCUCCUGGUACUCUGCACACAUGCUUCUGGGCCACGGAGGAAGAAAACUAGAAGCGCAGCACAUUUCUCCGGAGAGAAAACGCUCUGGACUGGAAUUAACACCACUCCUGAAAGAGCAAGCCAGAGCUGGGAGUUUGCGAGCCGCUCCCUUUCCCUCCACUCACCUGGAACCACCGCGGCCCCUGAUGAUUGCCCCGCUCCAUGAUGCUCACCCUGUGAACCCUGUGAGCCCGAGGUACCCAGGCCCGCUUCCCCUCACCCCUCCCUGUUCCUGCCACAUCCCCUGUUCAUCAUAAACGCAGCUCCUUAUACACCCUAUGAGGUACAGGGAC